GAAAAAGUAAUUAAAAAAUAAUAUAUCUUUGUCAAAGAUAACUUAUCCCAAAAGAUCUUUUUCU
This 64-nucleotide transfer RNA is filed under the name Thrips imaginis (plague thrips). Its description in RNAcentral is "tRNA-Asp". Lineage: Eukaryota; Metazoa; Arthropoda; Insecta; Thysanoptera; Thripidae. The record is from RNAcentral.